RNAcentral lists this ribosomal RNA (253 nucleotides) under Anaerobutyricum hallii. Its description in RNAcentral is "partial 16S ribosomal RNA". It matches the Rfam family "Bacterial small subunit ribosomal RNA", at positions 524 to 776 of the family's 1533-position model. The record is from RNAcentral. Lineage: Bacteria; Bacillati; Bacillota; Clostridia; Lachnospirales; Lachnospiraceae.
UACGUAUGGAGCAAGCGUUAUCCGGAUUUACUGGGUGUAAAGGGUGCGUAGGUGGCAGUGCAAGUCAGAUGUGAAAGGCCGGGACUCAACCCCGGAGCUGCAUUUGAAACUGCUCGGCUAGAGUACAGGAGAGGCAGGCGGAAUUCCUAGUGUAGCGGUGAAAUGCGUAGAUAUUAGGAGGAACACCAGUGGCGAAGGCGGCCUGCUGGACUGUUACUGACACUGAGGCACGAAAGCGUGGGGAGCAAACAGG